CUGUACGCAGCUUACCAUGCAAGUCGAGCGGUAACAGAGAGUAGCUUGCUACUUUGCUGACGAGCGGCGGACGGGUGAGUAAUGCUUGGGAAUAUGCCUUAUGGUGGGGGACAACAGUUGGAAACGACUGCUAAUACCGCAUAACGUCUACGGACCAAAGGGGGGGAUCUUCGGACCUCUCGCCAUUUGAUUAGCCCAAGUGAGAUUAGCUAGUUGGUAAGGUAAAGGCUUACCAAGGCGACGAUCUCUAGCUGGUUUGAGAGGAUGAUCAGCCACACUGGGACUGAGACACGGCCCAGACUCCUACGGGAGGCAGCAGUGGGGAAUAUUGCACAAUGGGCGAAAGCCUGAUGCAGCCAUGCCGCGUGUGUGAAGAAGGCCUUCGGGUUGUAAAGCACUUUCAGUUGUGAGGAAAGGGGUGUAGUUAAUAGCUGCAUCCUGUGACGUUAGCAACAGAAGAAGCACCGGCUAACUUCGUGCCAGCAGCCGCGGUAAC
RNAcentral lists this ribosomal RNA (496 nucleotides) under uncultured Colwellia sp. Its description in RNAcentral is "bacterial SSU rRNA". It matches the Rfam family "Bacterial small subunit ribosomal RNA", at positions 40 to 524 of the family's 1533-position model. Lineage: Bacteria; Pseudomonadati; Pseudomonadota; Gammaproteobacteria; Alteromonadales; Colwelliaceae. The record is from RNAcentral.